This 463-nucleotide ribosomal RNA is filed under the name Vreelandella stevensii. Its description in RNAcentral is "partial 16S ribosomal RNA". It matches the Rfam family "Bacterial small subunit ribosomal RNA", at positions 339 to 795 of the family's 1533-position model. The record is from RNAcentral. Lineage: Bacteria; Pseudomonadati; Pseudomonadota; Gammaproteobacteria; Oceanospirillales; Halomonadaceae.
CUACGGGUGGCAGCAGUGGGGAAUAUUGGACAAUGGGCGAAAGCCUGAUCCAGCCAUGCCGCGUGUGUGAAGAAGGCCUUCGGGUUGUAAAGCACUUUCAGUGGGGAAGAAAGCCUUGGGGCUAAUACCCUCGAGGAAGGACAUCACCCACAGAAGAAGCACCGGCUAACUCCGUGCCAGCAGCCGCGGUAAUACGGAGGGUGCGAGCGUUAAUCGGAAUUACUGGGCGUAAAGCGCGCGUAGGCGGUCUGAUAAGCCGGUUGUGAAAGCCCCGGGCUCAACCUGGGAACGGCAUCCGGAACUGUCAGGCUAGAGUGCAGGAGAGGAAGGUAGAAUUCCCGGUGUAGCGGUGAAAUGCGUAGAGAUCGGGAGGAAUACCAGUGGCGAAGGCGGCCUUCUGGACUGACACUGACGCUGAGGUGCGAAAGCGUGGGUAGCAAACAGGAUUAAUACCCGAGUAGUC